This 659-nucleotide ribosomal RNA is filed under the name Shigella flexneri. RNAcentral's name for it is "bacterial SSU rRNA". It matches the Rfam family "Bacterial small subunit ribosomal RNA", at positions 886 to 1533 of the family's 1533-position model. The record is from RNAcentral. Lineage: Bacteria; Pseudomonadati; Pseudomonadota; Gammaproteobacteria; Enterobacterales; Enterobacteriaceae.
CCGCAAGGUUAAAACUCAAAUGAAUUGACGGGGGCCCGCACAAGCGGUGGAGCAUGUGGUUUAAUUCGAUGCAACGCGAAGAACCUUACCUGGUCUUGACAUCCACGGAAGUUUUCAGAGAUGAGAAUGUGCCUUCGGGAACCGUGAGACAGGUGCUGCAUGGCUGUCGUCAGCUCGUGUUGUGAAAUGUUGGGUUAAGUCCCGCAACGAGCGCAACCCUUAUCCUUUGUUGCCAGCGGUCCGGCCGGGAACUCAAAGGAGACUGCCAGUGAUAAACUGGAGGAAGGUGGGGAUGACGUCAAGUCAUCAUGGCCCUUACGACCAGGGCUACACACGUGCUACAAUGGCGCAUACAAAGAGAAGCGACCUCGCGAGAGCAAGCGGACCUCAUAAAGUGCGUCGUAGUCCGGAUUGGAGUCUGCAACUCGACUCCAUGAAGUCGGAAUCGCUAGUAAUCGUGGAUCAGAAUGCCACGGUGAAUACGUUCCCGGGCCUUGUACACACCGCCCGUCACACCAUGGGAGUGGGUUGCAAAAGAAGUAGGUAGCUUAACCUUCGGGAGGGCGCUUACCACUUUGUGAUUCAUGACUGGGGUGAAGUCGUAACAAGGUAACCGUAGGGGAACCUGCGGUUGGAUCACCUCCUUACCUUAAAGAAGC